UUUCCUAAUUUUAGGAGAGAAUUAAGCUAGAUUGAUUUUUUCUUAUUCAGUCAUUGGUGUAUAUAUAUGUGUAUGGUGUGUACCGAAUACUAUCAAUAAAGGAGUUCAGAAAUUCUUCAUGGUAUCAGAGCCAGUUUUCUGAAACCCUAAUCCCUUCCGGCCAAAUCUCUCUGGCCAUCUCUCAUUCCGACCAUCUCUCUCUCUGGCCAUCUCUCAUUCCGGUCAUCAGUCCCUAUUCUCAGAGUCAAGGGAGAAAACGCUUUCCGGUCGGUCUAAUCGUCGUCAGAAAACAUUCACCGCCGGCAACUUUUCCAGCGAACUUUCCGGCGACGGUUUUUUCUACACCGCAAGGAGCGCCUGGAGGAGAUCUCCAAUUUGUCCCAAAGCACCGGAACCAGAAACCCAUCCACGCGCCGUCCACGCGCGCUUUUUCCGGCCGGCGACUGCAUCUCACGCGCCGGCGCGUGAGGGCGCGUGAGCCACUUUCCGGCGAUGCGCUUCCUCCUCUAAGCUCGUCUGACGCCGACCAGCCACCCUUCUUACCUGUUUUGCCAUCCGAGCCCUGCACGUGCCUCUUUUGGGGUUCUCUUGCUUCCGUGGGCACUUCGAUCAGUUUUUCCGGCGUCCUCCGGCUAUUUUUUCUCAACUCCAAUCCCUGCACGUGCCUUGGGAAGUGUUCUUCUACCUUUCCGGUCCAUGACAAAAUACGGAAUGGCAUCAUCACAAGUAUCCAGCGUCACGUCACCAGAAUCAGGGGGCAGAUCUGAAAUUCCAAACCUUGGUGGCAAUGAUUCCUCUCCUAUUCUCAUCACAGGACACAAAUUAAAUGGCCAUAACUAUUUACAGUGGUCACAAUCUGUGUUGCUGUUCAUUUGCGGUAAAGGAAAGGAUAAGUACCUCACUGGAGAAGCAGCCAUGCCAGAAACUACAGAACCGGGUUUCAGGAAGUGGAAGAUUGAAAACAGCAUGAUCAUGUCAUGGCUUAUCAAUUCCAUGAACAAUGACAUAGGAGAAAAUUUCUUGCUGUUUGGGACUGCAAAGGACAUAUGGGAUGCAGCCAAAGAAACUUACUCAAGUUCUGAAAAUACUUCAGAACUUUUUCAGGUGGAAUCAGCCCUACAUGACUUCCGCCAAGGAGAGCAGUCAGUUACUCAGUAUUACAACACACUCACAAGGUAUUGGCAGCAACUUGACUUAUUCGAGACUCACUCAUGGAAAUGUUCGGAUGAUGCAGCAACAUACAGGCAAAUUGUGGAACACAAGAGACUGUUCAAGUUCUUCCUAGGACUAAACAGGGAAUUGGAUGAUGUUAGAGGCCGAAUCAUGGGCAUUAAACCCCUUCCAAGUCUCAGGGAGGUUUUUUCAGAGGUUAGGCGUGAAGAAAGUAGAAAGAAAGUGAUGAUGGGAUCCAAAGAGCAACCUGCCACAACAUUGGAUGGCUCUGCCCUUGCUGCUCGGUCAUUUAAUAGUAGUGGUGGAGAUCGUCAGAAACGAGAUAGGCCUUGGUGUGAUUAUUGUAAGAAACCAGGCCAUUAUAAGGAGGCUUGCUGGAAGCUUCAUGGCAAACCGGCUGAUUGGAAACCAAAGCCACGGUCUGACAGAGAUGGCAGAGCACACGUGGCUGCCAACUCUGAGAGCACAUCUGUUCCCGAGCCGAGUCCAUUCAACAAAGAGCAGAUGGAGAUGCUACAGAAACUAUUGAGCCAAGUUGGCAGUGGCAGUACUACCGGGAUAGCCCUCACUACUAGUCAAGGAGGAAUGAAGCCGUGGAUAGUGGACACAGGUGCUUCUGAUCACAUGACAGGAGAUGCUGCCAUCCUUCAAAAUUACAAGCCAAGUAAUGGUCAUUCAUCCGUCCAUAUUGCUGAUGGUUCAAAGUCAAAAAUUGCCGGGACAGGUUCUAUAAAACUUACUAAAGACUUAUAUCUUGACUCUGUCCUCCAUGUUCCAAACUUGGAUUGUAAUCUUUUGUCCAUUAGCAAAUUGGCUCGUGAUCUCCAAUGUGUUACUAAAUUCUAUCCAAACUCGUGUGUUUUUCAGGACUUGAAAUCGGGGAAGAUGAUUGGCAGUGCUGAACUGUGUUCCGGGCUCUACCUCCUCUCAUGUGGCCAAUUCUCAAACCAAGUCUCUCAAGCAAGUUGCGUACAGUCUCAGAGUAUGUUAGAGUCUUUCAAUUCUGUGUCAAAUUCUAAGGUCAAUAAAGAUAGUGAGAUUAUAAUGUUACACUAUCGCCUUGGUCAUCCUAGCUUUGUUUACCUUGCAAAAUUGUUUCCCAAAUUAUUUAUCAAUAAAAAUCCAGCAUCUUAUCACUGUGAAAUUUGUCAGUUUGCAAAGCAUACUCGAACAGUAUAUCCUCAAAUCCCAUACAAACCUUCGACUGUUUUCUCCCUAGUUCAUAGUGAUGUGUGGGGUCCCUCCCGGAUAAAAAAUAUUUCUGGCACUCGAUGGUUUGUGACAUUCGUUGAUGAUCAUACUCGGGUAACAUGGGUUUUCCUUAUGAAAGAAAAGUCAGAGGUCGGGCACAUUUUUCAAACCUUCAAUCUUAUGGUUCAAAACCAAUUCAAUUCCAAAAUUCAAGUCCUCAAGUCAGAUAAUGCAAAGGAAUACUUUACUAGUAGUCUCAGUACUUAUCUUCAAAAUCAUGGCAUUAUCCACAUAAGUUCUUGCGUUGACACCCCACAACAAAAUGGGGUGGCUGAACGCAAGAAUAGACAUCUCUUGGAGGUUGCCCGGUGCCUUAUGUUUUCCUCUAAUGUUCCAAACUAUUUCUGGGGGGAAGCUAUUCUCACAGCUACCUAUUUGAUUAACCGUAUGCCAUCCAGAGUGCUUACCUUUCAAUCCCCACGUCAACUUUUCUUAAAACAAUUUCCUCACACCCGUGUCGCCUCUUCUGAUUUACCACUCAAAGUAUUUGGUUGCACGGCAUUCGUUCAUGUGUAUCCUCAAAAUCGUAGCAAAUUUGCUCCUCGAGCAAAUAAGUGCAUUUUCCUAGGGUAUUCUCCAACCCAAAAAGGGUACAAAUGCUAUUCUCCAACCAACAAAAGAUUUUACACCACCAUGGACGUCUCUUUUUUUGAACAUGUCUUCUUCUAUCCCAAAUUUCAUGUUCAGGGGAAGAGCAUGAAUGAACAUCAAGUUUAGGAGUCUCAUCUUGAGGGUGUACCUUCUUUUCACUCAGAGUCACCAAAUCCUUCCCAAUUCGCGCCCACUGAGUUGUCCACACCCAUGCCGUCAUCAGUCCAGCCAGCCCAGCACACAAAUGUUCCUUCUCCCGUGACCAUCCAGUCUCCCAUGCCUAUUCAACCUACAACCUCACAACUUGCUAAUGAGAACUUACAAGUUUACAUCAGGAGGAGGAAAAGACAGGAAUUAGAGCACGGAUCACAGUCAACAUGUGGCCAAUAUAUUGACUCCAAUUCAAGUCUUCCUGAAGAGAACAUAGGUGAGGAUAGGGCUGGAGAGGUGUUAAUUCCCAGCAUUGAUGAUUCUACUCUGCCGAUUGCAUUGAGGAAGGGUGUUAGGAGAUGUACAGAUCAUCCAAUUGGAAAUUAUGUUACGUAUGAAGGGCUAUCACCAUCUUAUAGAGCAUUUGCUACUUCUCUUGAUGAUACUCAGGUUCCCAACACAAUACAAGAGGCAUUAAAAAUUUCAGAAUGGAAGAAGGCAGUACAAGAUGAGAUUGAUGCACUUGAGAAGAAUGGGACGUGGACUAUCACAGAUUUGCCGGUUGGGAAGAGGCCUGUGGGGUGCAAGUGGAUUUUCACCAUAAAAUACAAAGCAGAUGGAUCAGUCGAGAGAUUCAAGGCUCGUUUGGUAGCUAGAGGGUUUACACAAUCCUAUGGGAUAGACUAUCAGGAGACUUUUGCUCCUGUUGCAAAACUGAACACUAUCAGGAUUCUUCUCUCAUUGGCUGUCAAUCAAGAUUGGUGCUUGCAACAACUGGACAUAAAAAAUGCGUUUCUAAAUGGUGACCUAGAAGAGGAAGUCUACAUGGAAAUACCACCUGGUUUCGAAGAAAGUAUGGCAAAGAAUCAGGUUUGCAAACUCCAAAAAUCCUUGUACGGCCUUAAACAAUCUCCCCGAGCCUGGUUUGAUAGAUUCACAAAAGCAGUCCUGAAGCUGGGCUACAAACAAGGUCAGGCUGAUCAUACUCUAUUUGUCAAGAAGUCUCAUAUCGGGAAAAUGGCCAUAUUGAUAGUCUAUGUCGAUGAUAUUAUUCUAUCUGGGAAUGAUAUGGAGGAAUUACAGAAUUUGAAGAAGUAUUUGUCAGAAGAGUUUGAAGUUAAAGACCUUGGAAAUUUGAAAUAUUUCCUUGGUAUGGAAGUGGCUAGAUCAAGGAAGGGAAUUGUAGUCUCUCAAAGAAAAUACAUACUCGAUCUUCUUAAGGAGACCGGUAUGCUUGGAUGCAAACCAAUUGAUACUCCUAUGGAUAGUCAGAAGAAACUUGGUAUCGAGAAAGAAGGUACACCGGUAGACAGGGGGAGAUAUCAGCGGCUUGUCGGGCGCUUGAUUUAUCUCUCACAUACUCGGCCAGAUAUUGGCUUUGCAGUGAGUGCUGUAAGUCAAUUCAUGCACAGCCCCACUGAGGAACACAUGGAAGCAGUCUACAGGAUUCUUAGAUAUUUAAAAAUGACACCAGGGAAAGGUCUAUUCUUCAGAAAGACAGAGAACCGUGACACUGAAGUAUACUCAGAUGCGGAUUGGGCAGGAAACAUCAUUGACAGGCGGUCCACUUCUGGAUAUUGUUCUUUUGUCUGGGGAAAUCUUGUUACCUGGAGGAGUAAGAAGCAAUCAGUUGUAGCCAGAAGUAGUGCAGAAGCUGAGUACAGAGCUCUUGCACAGGGAAUCUGUGAAGGGAUUUGGAUAAAAAGGGUUCUUAGUGAACUGGGACAAACGAGUUCAUCUCCAAUUCUGAUGAUGUGUGAUAAUCAGGCAGCUAUAAGCAUAGCAAAGAACCCCGUGCAUCAUGACAGGACCAAGCAUGUUGAGAUUGACAGACACUUCAUCACAGAGAAGGUGACUAGUGAGACGGUUAAAUUGAACUAUGUUCCUACCAAGCACCAAACCGCGGACAUCCUCACCAAAGCUUUACCUAGGCCUAACUUCGAAGACUUAACUUGCAAGCUGGGAUUAUAUGAUAUAUAUUCUCCAGCUUGAGGGGGAGUGUUGAAAUAAUGCCAAAGUUAGGUUUUUUAAUUUAGGAAAGUAUUUUAGGAAUAAAAAAGGAGAGAUCAUUUAGGAUAUUUCCUUAUGAUUCAGUUUCCUAAUUUUAGGAGAGAAUUAAGCUAGAUUGAUUUUUUCUUAUUCAGUCAUUGGUGUAUAUAUAUGUGUAUGGUGUGUACCGAAUACUAUCAAUAAAGGAGUUCAGAAAUUCUUCAAAUACUAAGAUAAGCAAACAUAUAUAUAUCAAUAUCAUAAAUAUGCAGACACUGAUGGGGAAAAAGUGAAAUAUUUUGUGUGGGGGAAGUGGACCUAGUGGAAGCCUUAGCUUCAGAAUUUGGUUGGGAGAGUGAGUUGACUGCGGUGAAAUUAUCCCUGUAGGGAAACUGGAUCAAAUUGAAAACAGUGUCUGCUUUGAAAGACUCUGCUAUGCUUAUUUUGGUGCUUAUGAAAUGAACAAAAUAGAAGAAAUUAUCAUGGCUUAGAGUGGACACGAUUGCUAUUGAAAAAUGUUUUUAUGAAUUUUUUAUUUGACUGGUUAGGAAGAUCCCUUGGAAAUGGGAUGAAUAGUUUGUUAAUGCUUUGAGCUGUCUUUAAGAUGGAGGAUGCCUUUUUCUCUUUUAUUUUAUUUUUUGUGUUUUGAGUGAUCCAUGUAUACAUGUUGGGUGCCUUGGUUUGCCCCUUUUAAGUGCCUUCUAAUUUUAAUUUUGAUUUAACUAUAAAAAAUUACAAUUUUUCAGUGCAUUAAUUCAUAAAAACCACAAAAAUGUUCUAAACUUUUAACACUCUUUCUUAGUUCUAAUCAGUUUAACCAUUAAUGGAUGGCUUAAUAUAGAAAAUGAUAAAACCAGUCUCCAACUAAUCCAAAAGAAAUAAUUUAUGUAAAACUAAAACUGCAUAUUUGUGUGGAAUAUGGAUAUUGAAACCAUUGAGGGCUGUCAAACCUUGUAAGAUAUUUAUGCUGAAAGGAACUCAUCAUGUACAAAUACAAUUGCAUGCUCGUGUAGAUUUUGGAUAUUGAAACCAUAAAAAACUUUAGUCAUCUUUAAAUGUAUAAACAAGAAAGGAAAAGAACAAUUAAAUUUGGGUGGAAGAGUUUGCUUCAUGGAAAUCAUUGUACCAUGGGAGGGUAGUGAUCCCCUUUUUAGUAAAAAAAAAAAGAAAAAAAAAAGAAUUACUUAUAAUUAACUUAACAACAUCUAGGUAACAUAAGAAAUCAUUCCUAGGCAAAAUAUUGGUCUAGAUACUUUUUAUUUAUCUAUUUUUCUUUUUGUUAAGAACAAACACUUUAUUGCCAUGGAAUAAUUAAGUAAAUAGAAAAAUGUGAAAUCCUUGCUUUGAAAGAAGAUUGCAUCAAUUUGAUCAAUAGCUAGAACUUGGUUACAAUUAGAAGUCACAGUGACAUCCCAUCUACUAGAGUGUUACCCAUAAAUGCUCAAAAUAUUUUGUUCCUAGGAAAUCUCCAUAACCACUUCACUAAUAGGCUUUGAACCUCAAAGCAUAGUUGUUAAAAAUUUACGAUACACAAUAUGAUACAAC
This 6699-nucleotide long non-coding RNA is filed under the name Vitis vinifera (wine grape). RNAcentral describes it as "long non-coding RNA (VVIN_LNC003630)". Lineage: Eukaryota; Viridiplantae; Streptophyta; Magnoliopsida; Vitales; Vitaceae. The record is from RNAcentral.